RNAcentral lists this ribosomal RNA (253 nucleotides) under uncultured bacterium. RNAcentral's name for it is "partial 16S ribosomal RNA". It matches the Rfam family "Bacterial small subunit ribosomal RNA", at positions 524 to 776 of the family's 1533-position model. The record is from RNAcentral.
UACGGAGGGUGCAAGCGUUAUCCGGAUUCACUGGGCUUAAAGGGCGCGUAGGCGGGCAGGUAAGUCAGUGGUGAAAUCUCCGAGCUUAACUCGGAAACUGCCGUUGAUACUAUUUGUCUUGAAUAUUGUGGAGGUAAGCGGAAUAUGUCAUGUAGCGGUGAAAUGCUUAGAUAUGACAUAGAACACCAAUUGCGAAGGCAGCUUACUACACAACGAUUGACGCUGAGGCACGAAAGCGUGGGGAUCAAACAGG